UCGGUGCUUCACAGUUAAACGGGAAACAGGAGGGCCCCUUCGGGACCUAACCUGUGCUGCCCCCGCAACGGUAAGCAUCCCGUCCCGCGUGGCCACGCCGCGCGCGACACGCCGCAUCGAACCCACUGUGCCACGUCCCGCCGCAUCCUCCGGCGCCGGCGCGCAUGGGAAGGGGAUGCGGCCACGGAUGCCAGCCCGGAUACCGGCCGGCUC
This 213-nucleotide non-coding RNA is filed under the name uncultured Pigmentiphaga sp. The record is from RNAcentral. Lineage: Bacteria; Pseudomonadati; Pseudomonadota; Betaproteobacteria; Burkholderiales; Alcaligenaceae.